Molecule: ribosomal RNA, 496 nt
Filed under: uncultured bacterium
Lineage: Bacteria
Description: partial 16S ribosomal RNA
Rfam family: Bacterial small subunit ribosomal RNA
Source: RNAcentral
GAUGAACGCUGGCGGCGUGCCUAAUACAUGCAAGUCGAGCGAACGGACGAGAAGCUUGCUUCUCUGAUGUUAGCGGCGGACGGGUGAGUAACACGUGGAUAACCUACCUAUAAGACUGGGAUAACUUCGGGAAACCGGAGCUAAUACCGGAUAAUCUUUUGAACCGCAUGGUUCAAAAGUAAAAGACGGUCUUGCUGUCACUUAUAGCUGGAUACGCGCUGCGUUAGCUAGUUGGUAAGGUAACGGCUUAUCACGGGAAUGGUGCAUAACCGAGGGGAGGGGGGGAUGGGCGACACAGAAGGUGAGAGGCGGCCCAGGGUCCGAGGGGAGGCAGCAGCAGGGAAGCGUGGGCAAUGUGCGAAAGCCUGACGGAGCAACGGAGCGGGAGUGAAGAAGGGCUGCGGAUCGUAAAACGCUGUUAUUAGGGUAGAACAUAUGUGUAAGUAACUGUGCACAUCUGGACGGUAUCGAAUCAGAAAGCCACGGCUAACUACGU